AUAUUGGACAAUGGGCGAAAGCCUGAUCCAGCCAUGCCGCGUGUGUGAAGAAGGUCUUCGGAUUGUAAAGCACUUUAAGUCGGGAGGAAGGGCAUUAACAUAAUACGUUAGUGUAUUGACGUUACCGACAGAAUAAGCACCGGCCAACUCUGUGCUAGCAGCCGCGGUAAUACAGAGGGCGCAAGCGUUAAUCGGAAUUACUGGGCGUAAAGCGCGCGUAGGUGGUUUGUUAAGUUGGAUGUGAAAGCCCCGGGCUCAACCUGGGAACUGCAUCCAAAACUGGCGAGCUAGAGUACGGUAGAGGGUGGUGGAAUUUCCUGUGUAGCGGUGAAAUGCGUAGAUAUAGGAAGGAACACCAGUGGCGAAGGCGACCACCUGGACUGAUACUGACACUGAGGUGCGAAAGCGUGGGGAGCAAAC
Molecule: ribosomal RNA, 420 nt
Filed under: uncultured bacterium
Lineage: Bacteria
Description: bacterial SSU rRNA
Rfam family: Bacterial small subunit ribosomal RNA
Source: RNAcentral